GGGUACUCAUAGAUAUUCCCUGACUAGCUGGACCGUGGUAGUAGUGAGGAACGUGACAAUUCCGAGCUACCUUUGUAGAUCACAUCUCGUUAGCAAGAAGGAUAGGGUUUAUAGGUGCGGGUCGAACAUCCUUUGUGUUGUCUAGAUUCCGUUAGCCUCCCCAUUAGAGCAAUAGAUCAUCCUUACCAAGGUUAGAAGGAGACUACGGUUGCAGUCUUCUCUAUUUAUCACUCACAUCGAAAGACAUUCUUUGUGCCUAAAGGGAUAGUAGCAAUAGAUUUGGUUAGUCAGAUGCACCCUUUCUCCCAGUGGUAAAAAUAUAAAUACGAUAACUCUGGAUAACCUCCCGGGUGAAAUGCUCACUGAUAUUCGUGCGCUUGUGGAUCAUUUCCUUAUUGCGUUACCAAAUAUCAACAAGCAUUUCUGGCGCCGUUGCCGUGGAGAAAGACGGUUUGCUGAGAUAACUUUGAGUCUUGCUAUUAUCUUGUAUUAUACUUUUAUUCUUUUAUUCUUUUAUCUUUUUAUUUUUAUCUUUAUGGAUAACUCAAAUUCCAUAACUAUUAUUAAAUUCCUUGCACCUUCGGAGACCAGCCAUAGACCAUGGGAGUCAACACGUCCUGCCCCUAAUUAUGAUCUGUGUCCGGAGUUGAUUGCAAUAGGUCAAAACCAACCCUUUUCUAUAGCCGAGGU
RNAcentral lists this long non-coding RNA (690 nucleotides) under Sorghum bicolor (sorghum). RNAcentral's name for it is "long non-coding RNA (SBIC_LNC005364)". Lineage: Eukaryota; Viridiplantae; Streptophyta; Magnoliopsida; Poales; Poaceae. The record is from RNAcentral.